RNAcentral lists this long non-coding RNA (914 nucleotides) under Pan paniscus (pygmy chimpanzee). Its description in RNAcentral is "lncRNA (ENSPPAG00000044351.1)". The record is from RNAcentral. Lineage: Eukaryota; Metazoa; Chordata; Mammalia; Primates; Hominidae.
AUGUUUAGCAGUUUCCCUGGUCUCCACCUACCAGAUGCCAGUUGCACCUACCAAGUUCUGACACCCAAAAUGUCUUCAGACAUCGCCAAAUGUCCCCUGGGGGACAAAAAUCAACCCUGGUUGAGAACCACUGGGUUGGAAUACAAGCCUGAAAAACCGCUCCCAGUCUGCCGGUUGAAAUGCUACCUUGUCCAGGAAUUGUUUCUUGACUUUCCCAGGAGGAAGAACAUCUUAGACUCACUUCCAAUCCAAUUUCCAACCCUGAAAAUGCAAGAUCUUCCACAAAUGCAGAAUCUUCACAGUGGGCUGAUUUCUUUAAGGAACUGGGAUAAAAAUAACAAUAAGGUCAAGACCACAGUGACCUCUGGACUCCAGCCCCUGGCUAAGAAUGCAAUCUACCUGUCCACGGGCCAGUGUGAUGCAAGAUGUCAAGGGAUGGUGAUCACUGAGAGACCAAAGAUUUCCUCUGAAUUUGCCUGGAUUUUCACACUUGAUUGUUCACUGUCAAAAGGAAGAACAGGUGUACCUACAGCAACCUGGCUGCAGAAAUCUACAUUCUCCUUAUUCUGAGAAACCCCCCAAAAUACUACCACCAAAGUAGAAACCAAAUUUAUCCUGAAUUGACAUGUACCCCCUAACCCCAGCCCAACUCCAUACUCCUCUCUGUCAAGGAAGCAAAAUCAAUUUCCUUUGCUUUAGAUACCAGCAUGUAGGCUUGUGGACUUCCAAAUGCUGUCUUCCAAGAACUUGGAGUUUAAACACGAUCCCUUGGGUGAUAUGUCCAAAGAAGUUCUCACUGAAAUUCCCCGCAUCGUAAAAUGUCAGGAUGUCUGCGGUCUUUAUUUAUAGACAGAUUGCUUUUCAACUUUUCUCACUCCAACAUUUCAAUGUGUUAUUCCUGAAGAUAAAUGCAC